Molecule: long non-coding RNA, 1880 nt
Organism: Mya arenaria
Lineage: Eukaryota; Metazoa; Mollusca; Bivalvia; Myida; Myidae
Exons: 3
Source: RefSeq, a predicted model, not a curated record
GUUUCUGGGCUUGCGUUGGAUGCUUUUGAUGAAUACGAUAUAAUAAUGCAUAAUUAUUAUAUCGGUUUAUAUCGUUUGACGGUAGGAACGUAUGUCAUAUAGAGAGUGUCGGGAGGAAAGUGUUGCAUUCGGAUAUUUCGACUCCUCUUUAAAAUGUCUUCGAUCUUUCUUGUCGUUGCUCUCCUGGCAAAUGUACGAUGUGCUUUGGGGAUUGGAAGUAUCGAUACUCCAGUGAAGGUGCAAAAAUAUGAGGAAUGUCCAAAUCCAGUCCCAGGCGAUGUUAGUUGCAUACCACAAUGCCGAGAUGAUUCUGAUUGCAGAGAUUUUCGGCGCGAAAACAAAACCACCGCAUUCACUCAGCACUGCGUGGCCACCCGGAAUGUAAAAACACAGCCCAUUUCCCCUGCUAUCCCCGGUAUACCUCCGGACCUGGGGGGGGGGGGCAUGGUAAAACAUGACUGAUACAUAAUGCUGUUGAAAUAAAAAUAUAUAUAUAACUUGAAGAAGAAUAUAACUUCUAUGCUGAAUUUAAAUUAUAUUGUAUUGCCCUUAAUUAUUUCACGGUGGAACAUUAUAACACAACUCAUAUAUAAUUAGUGCACAUUUGUUGCAAAAUGAUGCGCAAUAAGUACGUUAAAUCAGCAUAUUGUCCAUGUUAAAGCAUAUGUAAUAGUGUGUGUUUUUACCUUUAAUAACAUUUUAUAUUGAAGUUCUUAAAAAGAUAUAGCUCAAUUUUAUAACAUUGUUCACAAAAAGGAAAAUUACAAACGAAAUUAAAAAGGGUUUCGUGAAUGGAAUGCACGAGAUCCACGAGACGGGAUCCCCGGGACUUGCAUAUGAGUGCGAACCCAAUACACUGAUGGUGACACAUUAUUGCAAAACGUUUUAUGACGCUGCCAUUGGGUAAGAUGGUGAUCUCCCUUGCUAAAAUGAAGUAGAAAGUAACAAUAGCGACAUCGAUUUUGAACAAACACUAUCGAGUUCCGCUUAAUACAGACACUUAAUGGUUGAGUAGCCUAUUUACUGGCUGUGAACAUUAAAGAUAUAUUUCUAUAACAAUGCAAAUGGUGUUAUUAAUCUUUAUAAUUCAUAUUUGGCUAUGCAAGUAGACUUAAUCUAAUUUUUAAUUAAUGUUCAACAUCUUUUCAUGACGAAAAUAACGUCAACUAUGCAAAUGACCACUUAAUUCCGGUUAGAACAACAAAGAAGAUAAUAAUAUGUCAAAAACUAGACAGGUUUUAACGACAAAGUAUAACUACAGAUAGUCAUAUUGCUUCAACGGAAACAAUGGAAGGGACAAAAACCAAAAACACGUCCGUUUAACGGGCUUGCAUUGUCAGUAAGUUGCGCAAGGCUUGAACGUUUUUUUUACACAAAGACCUCCAAAUUAACAAUUACCUAUACUAACAGUAGCUAUUGUGUAGUUUCCAUGUAAGCCAGUAUAUAAAUUACCUUUGCAUCAUUGUUCAUGCUUUUACGUCAUGAGAUAUUUAAUACUAUGAAUUUUAAAAUACAGCAGUGAACACUGACAUUAUACCAUAAUCUACCAUAAUUAUUACAAAGUCUUGAUAAAACAGUCCAGUGUUAUUCGAAACGUGCUUUGUAUUACGUACGCAAUACACUCUUGAGUCCGUGAUAUUCAUUAACAUGUCGGAUUCUUUGAAACCAAAUGCUUAAAAAUGAAUUAUUAAUAUUCAAAAGAAAAUAUAAUACAGUGGUUGGUUAUUUAUUGAUUAACUUCAUUUUAAAGCAGUCGAAUAACACAUACAAAAGUGUUACAACAACGGUUGAUUUGUUUUCGUCGUAAUUCUUAUAUAUUUCUUUUAUGCUUUUGAUGGAAUAUGGAGUUUUCAGUGAAAUAAUUGGAGUGGAAAUAUUCA